RNAcentral lists this ribosomal RNA (465 nucleotides) under uncultured bacterium. RNAcentral describes it as "partial 16S ribosomal RNA". It matches the Rfam family "Bacterial small subunit ribosomal RNA", at positions 338 to 795 of the family's 1533-position model. The record is from RNAcentral.
CCUACGGGUGGCAGCAGUAGGGAAUCUUCCACAAUGGGCGAAAGCCUGAUGGAGCAACGCCGCGUGGGUGAAGAAGGUCUUCGGAUCGUAAAACCCUGUUGUUAGAGAAGAAAGUGCGUGAGAGUAACUGUUCACGUCUCGACGGUAUCUAACCAGAAAGCCACGGCUAACUACGUGCCAGCAGCCGCGGUAAUACGUAGGUGGCAAGCGGUAUCCGGAGUUAGUGGGCGUAAAGGGAACGCAGGCGGUCUUUUAAGUCUGAUGUGAAAGCCUACGGCUUAACCAGAGUAGUGCAUUGGAAACUGGGAGACUUGAGUGCAGGAGAGGAGGGUGGAACUCCAGGUGUAGCGGUGAAAUGCGUAGAUAUAAGGAGGAACACCAAUGGCGAAAGCGACUCGCUAGUCUGUAACUGACGCUGAGGUUCGAAAGCGUGGGGAGCAAACAGGAUUAGAUACCCUUGUAGUC